This 478-nucleotide ribosomal RNA is filed under the name uncultured bacterium. RNAcentral's name for it is "partial 16S ribosomal RNA". It matches the Rfam family "Bacterial small subunit ribosomal RNA", at positions 28 to 523 of the family's 1533-position model. The record is from RNAcentral.
GACGAACGCUGGCGGCGUGCCUAACACAUGCAAGUCGAGCGAUGAAGCUCCUUCGGGAGUGGAAUAGCGGCGGACGGGUGAGGAACACGUGGGUAACCUGCCUCAUAGAGGGGAAUAGCCUUUCGAAAGGGAGAUUAAUACCGCAUAACAUAACUUUAUCGCAUGGUAGAGUUAUCAAAGGAGCAAUCCGCUAUGAGAUGGACCCGCGGCGCAUUAGCUAGUUGGUGAGGUAACGGCUCACCAAGGCGACGAUGCGUAGCCGACCUGAGAGGGGGAUCGGCCACAUUGGAACUGAGACACGGUCCAGACUCCUACGGGAGGCAGCAGUGGGGAAUAUUGCGCAAUGGGGGAAACCCUGACGCAGCAACGCCGCGUGAGUGAAGAAGGCCUUAGGGUUGUAAAGCUCUGUCAUAUGGGAAGAUAAUGACGGUACCAUAAGAGGAAGCCACGGCUAACUACGUGCCAGCCGCCGCCGUAA